GCCGAGGUAGCUCAGCUGGUAGAGCAGCGGUAUCGUAAACCGAAGAUCGGGGGUCCGAAUCCCCCCCUCGGCU
RNAcentral lists this transfer RNA (73 nucleotides) under Candidatus Woesebacteria bacterium. Its description in RNAcentral is "tRNA-Thr". It matches the Rfam family "tRNA". Rfam says of the family: Transfer RNA (tRNA) molecules are approximately 80 nucleotides in length. The record is from RNAcentral. Lineage: Bacteria; Candidatus Woeseibacteriota.